Ceratitis capitata (Mediterranean fruit fly) is the source of this 665-nucleotide long non-coding RNA. RefSeq lists it as uncharacterized. Lineage: Eukaryota; Metazoa; Arthropoda; Insecta; Diptera; Tephritidae. The record is from RefSeq and is a predicted model, not a curated record. The transcript is spliced from 3 exons.
UUUUUCGAUCAGACAAAUAUUCCUUUUGCUAUCACAGGCACCAUUUUCUAAGACUUGUAAAAAGGAAAACGCGAUAAAGCACGUUUCAAUGUUCUGACCGAGCAAUCGAACCUGCUCGACGCUGGGCCAAUAAAACGUCCAAAACGUGUCGAAUUGGCCAGUGAAACCUCUAACAGACUUCCUAGCCUCAAUGCCAAAACGAAUGUACCAGCGACGAAACUGGUGGCAAAUGUACAGAUUUAGGACCGCUGCACAGGUUAUAAGCCCCAGGUGAGCUGAGUAUCAGUACUUCAGGGCACAGUGGUGUGGCACGAUUUUUAAGAAUACGAAAGGACUUCAGCGCUUUGCUUUCGGUAUGCUCUUGGAAGCUGCAAUAGACGCUGACGGUUGCGCAAAAGUCUCAAAUUCGCAGAUAAAGCUUUGGAUAUUUUCACAGUUUACUACGCCCGCUUGGAGACAGAUCCUCUCAGAGCCACAACGGACAUCCUCAGAAAAUUGCAGCAAGACUGGUGCACCCGUUCUCUAGCCUUGGUGUCACUAACAAACAACAUGAAAAUGUGAAUAGCAUCAGGACCAUAAUACCGUUACAGUCAGUCAUGCACAAUUUCAGCUUCAUUGCGGCAAUUUUAAUGUAAAAGAUGCCUAACGGAGUGGAAGGCCAAUUG